UUGUUCCUUGUUAACCUUCUCAGUUCUCAGUCUCAGUGACCUUGUUGAGUUGUUUGAGCAAUCAAGAAUCAACUGGCAAAGUUGCAACUUGCAAUAUUAAUUAUUUAUUAUUUCAUUGAUUCUUGGACCUUCCAGCUUUCAUCGUUGGUGAAUGACAAUUAUUGACAAACCUCUCAUUGGAGUAGGCUACAUACUUACUUCCAAGCAAAGGAAGGGCUAAUCGAUAGGAAGUAAAGUUAUCUGCGGGCAGCUGAGUAGUCCUACUGGUGUUGGUGCAGUGCAUCGAAUGUAACUGUUGCAUUCACUUACAACUGUUUACGACAUCACCUACGAUUUCUGAGGAGAGGACAAAGAUAGGUCACAAUCUUUGAAAAGUAUGGUUUAAACUAUGAUGGAUUUUCAAAAGUGUAAUUCAUGGGUUCGUUGGUGCGCUGACGCUGACGUGAAUAGGAAAAUGCGCAUUCUCAUUGAUGGAAAAUACUGUCAGUAUGUCGGACUACCUGAGAGGCAUAAAAUGACUGGUUUGUUCCAAAUGGUUCACUCACUCUACUAGUUUCAGUAUGCAUUGCAUAUUCACACCAUUGAGAGGCCUUACCAGUGUACAGUAUGUUCCACAAGGUUUACUUGGCUGUGUCGUUAUCUAAACGACCCCAUCAUGUCAACCUUGUGGAACAGACUGUAUCUACAUGUGUACAGUAUGUUCCAGAAGGUUUACAUGGCUGUGUCGUUAUCUAAACGACCCCAUCAUGUCAACCUUGUGGAACAGACUGUAUCUACAUGUGUACAGUAUGUUCCAGAAGGUUCACAUGGCUGUGUCGUUAUCUAAACGACCCCAUCAUGUCAACCUUGUGGAACAGACUGUAUCUACAUGUGUACAGUAUGAUGUUCCACAAGGUUCACAUGGCUGUGUCGUUAUCUUUGAACUUUAUUUUCGAAAAAAAACAUUACAAAGAAAACUAAAAACAAUAAGGGAACUUAUUGCAUUAGCAAGUUUAUGCUAAAUGUAGCUAUAUAUUUAUAGUUUAUUAAUAAUAAAGUAACAUUGCUGCUAGAUAUUAUAAUGUCUAUUAUAAAUAAUUACUGGUAAUAUUUUAGGGAAAAUGAUACCUGCAUAGGUUUGAAACCUGUGCGCAGGUAGGUUAUUAAAAAAAAGAUCAAACAAAGACACAAAGAAAAUUACAAACGAGUUGAUAAUUAGGCUAUAACUAACGUAGGCAGGUACCUAAAAAAAUAAAAGUGGAAACUUUCCAGAGAUGAGGUGAAAGAGAUUACAAUUAUAAAGAAGAAAGCAAGAUUAUGAAUAAAACAAGCAUUAGACUAAUUGAACAACAAAGUUCGCCUAGCUAUUUAAUAGUUAUGCUUCAGCUUAUGGAACCUAAUGGUUUUGCAAUUACCAACGAUGACAAUGAUUAUAUUUAAUUACAUUACGGUACUACUAUGAACAAGUUAACUAAAAAAAGGAGAAAUGAAAAGACACAACCAUGUGAACCUUGUGGAACAAGACUGUAUAUUUAUGUGCUCAUACAAAUCGAUCACGAUGCUCUGUGAGUCUAUUGGGGAGGUAACAGAGUGUACGUUGCACCGAAAAACACUGAUGGAACAGCUCGAUUGAGACAGAAGUUUCUUUCUCAGUCCAGCAUUCAAUCAGUUUUCGCAUCCUCCAAGAGCUUAUGAUUGGUUUGGAUGAGCAUAUGCUUAUUUAUGUGGUAAAACUGAGAUAACCUUUUGGUACAGACUGUACACUGGUAAGGCUUCUCAUUGGUAUGAGUACGCAUAUGUAUAUUUAAAUUACUAGAGUGAGUGAACCUUUUGGAACAAACUGUACACUGGUCGAGCUUCAUGAUUUACAUGAAUGCUCAUUUAGAUUAA
Molecule: long non-coding RNA, 1869 nt
Filed under: Nilaparvata lugens (brown planthopper)
Lineage: Eukaryota; Metazoa; Arthropoda; Insecta; Hemiptera; Delphacidae
Description: uncharacterized LOC111057630
Source: RNAcentral